GGAAGAGAAACCUUGAAGAAGAGGGAAUGAGAGGCUCGUGAAGAAGAUGGGGAGAGAGACUCAGUGCUGUGAGAAGGAAAGUGUGAUGAGAUCUGUGACUGCACCUGUGGAGAGGUGAACAGGACCCCACGGCAGCAAAAGCGAUAUCCUGUGUGACAGCCGCUGUCCGCUCGCUCUCCUUGCUUCACUUUGUUACUGAGGUGACGCUAUGGUUUGGAUCUUGACUUCCAGCUGCAACUGCCAUGAAAUUCACGCUCUUCUUCCCACUGACUGUGCU
Hirundo rustica (Barn swallow) is the source of this 277-nucleotide long non-coding RNA. RefSeq lists it as uncharacterized. NCBI's taxonomy places the organism in Eukaryota, Metazoa, Chordata, Aves, Passeriformes, Hirundinidae. The transcript is spliced from 3 exons. The record is from RefSeq and is a predicted model, not a curated record.